AAUAGAUACCCUGGUAGUCCACGCCGUAAACGAUGAGUGCUAAGUGUUAGAGGGUUUCCGCCCUUUAGUGCUGCAGCUAACGCAUUAAGCACUCCGCCUGGGGAGUACGGUCGCAAGACUGAAACUCAAAGGAAUUGACGGGGGGCCCGCACAAGCGGUGGAGCAUGUGGUUUAAUUCGAAGCAACGCGAAGAACCUUACCAGGUCUUGACAUCCCACUGACCGGUAUAGAGAUAUACCUUUCCCUUCGGGGACAGUGGUGACAGGUGGUGCAUGGUUGUCGUCAGCUCGUGUCGUGAGAUGUUGGGUUAAGUCCCGCAACGAGCGCAACCCUUGAUCUUAGUUGCCAGCAUUUAGUUGGGCACUCUAAGGUGACUGCCGGUGACAAACCGGAGGAAGGUGGGGAUGACGUCAAAUCAUCAUGCCCCUUAUGACCUGGGCUACACACGUGCUACAAUGGAUGGUACAAAGGGCUGCAAGACUGCGAAGUCAAGCCAAUCCCAUAAAACCAUUCUCAGUUCGGAUUGCAGG
Molecule: ribosomal RNA, 530 nt
Filed under: uncultured bacterium
Lineage: Bacteria
Description: bacterial SSU rRNA
Rfam family: Bacterial small subunit ribosomal RNA
Source: RNAcentral